Clupea harengus (Atlantic herring) is the source of this 500-nucleotide long non-coding RNA. The record is from Ensembl. Lineage: Eukaryota; Metazoa; Chordata; Actinopteri; Clupeiformes; Clupeidae.
UUUCUAUCCUGCAGACUCGUCUGCCCGAAGGAUCUUGGGGCCAUGGAGACGUUCUUCGCGUUGAAGAUGCCAUAGAGCCUCAUUCUUUCUGCUUGCACUCUUUAUGACUUUGAAGGAGGGGAGAAAAAGCCUUCUACUCCCAAGGGUAAGGUCACUUGGACCUUGUGUGCUUUAGUCCGGUGAUGUCAGCGGAGGAUCCCGACUCGUCGAGGUUCCCCGUCGGCCCCCGGUCUGGAGGCACAGGUCUCUAGUGAGCAGCGCCUGGUUGUCGCCAUCGACAGCCAACGAAGCAACAGACGCAAGAAGCAACCAAAACAAACAAAGCCACCAAAAACUUCUCUCUCUUCCCCUUUUCCCGGUGGCUUCUGGUUGUCUGUUGUCUUGGUUGGUGGGUCGAGGGUAGCCAUUCGUAAAACACACCCCGACAGUUUCUGAUAUGCUGUACGCUUGAUUUCCUUACAAAAAAAAAUGAAUAAAAAUAGCAAAAGCUGUAACGGAAA